Fukomys damarensis (Damara mole-rat) is the source of this 256-nucleotide long non-coding RNA. RefSeq lists it as uncharacterized. The transcript has 3 exons. Lineage: Eukaryota; Metazoa; Chordata; Mammalia; Rodentia; Bathyergidae. The record is from RefSeq and is a predicted model, not a curated record.
GGUAGGACUAAAAGUCCAGAUCUGCAUUUGCCUUUCCAGAGAGGUCACCACACCCAUCCCAAAGUAUUCAACUCAUCGUGGGUCCAACAGAUCCAUAGCACUAUUCUGACGAUUCUGAGGAUUGGGGGAGUUGUAUGCUAGGAAAGAAAUAGGAGUAGAGAAUUUUGUCCCCUCCAGGAUUCUGAACAGGUCUCUGACUAGCCAGCACACCAUGAGGGAGAUUGUGGUAGAUGAAGCAUGCUCAACUUAGGGUCAG